Mycena filopes is the source of this 79-nucleotide non-coding RNA. Lineage: Eukaryota; Fungi; Basidiomycota; Agaricomycetes; Agaricales; Mycenaceae. The record is from the annotation of a GenBank genome assembly.
GCGCGCUUGGUGUAACGGUAACACACGGCACUCUCUAUUGAAAUCCGCCGAGUCUGGGGUUCGACUCCCCAAGCCCGCC